AGAGUUUGAUCCUGGCUCAGAACGAACGCUGGCGGCGUGGAUAAGACAUGCAAGUCGAACGAGACUUUUCGUUGUAGCAAUACGAUGGAAAGUUUAGUGGCGAACGGGUGCUUAACACGUGGGCAACCUGCCAUGAAGUGGGGGAUAGCUCGCCGAAAGGCGAAUUAAUACCGCAUGUGAUUAGAGAGGACAUCCUUUCAAAAUUAAAGUCGGGGCAACCUGACGCUUCUUGUGGGGCCCGCGGCCUAUCAGCUAGUUGGUGAGGUAACGGCUCACCAAGGCUUUGACGGGUAGCUGGUCUGAGAGGACGACCAGCCACACUGGGACUGAGACACGGCCCAGACACCUACGGGUGGCAGCAGUCGAGAAUUUUUGACAAUGGGGGAAACCCUGAUCGAGCGACGCCGCGUGGAGGAUGAAGGUCUUCGGAUUGUAAACUCCUGUCAUUUGGGAACAAGGUGCACACGUUAACUGCGUGCGUAUUGAUAGUACCAGAAGAGGAAGAGACGGCUAACUCUGUGCCAGCAGCCGCGGUAAUACAGAGGUCUCAAGCGUUGUUCGGAUUCAUUGGGCGUAAAGGGUGCGUAGGCGGCGCGGCAAGUCGGGUGUGAAAUCUCGGAGCUUAACUCCGAAACUGCAUUCGAUACUGCCGUGCUUGAGGACUGGAGAGGAGACUGGAAUUUACGGUGUAGCGGUGAAAUGCGUAGAUAUCGUAAGGAAGACCAGUGGCGAAGGCGGGUCUCUGGACAGUUCCUGACGCUGAGGCACGAAGGUCAGGGGAGCAAACGGGAUUAGAUACCCUAGUAGUCC
RNAcentral lists this ribosomal RNA (810 nucleotides) under uncultured bacterium. Its description in RNAcentral is "bacterial SSU rRNA". It matches the Rfam family "Bacterial small subunit ribosomal RNA", at positions 8 to 796 of the family's 1533-position model. The record is from RNAcentral.